AACCCCGUUUAUAAAAUAACGCUGGUCAGGGGAAGUAAUUGUUGCGGUCAAUGAUUUUGUUUGUUGUCUAUGAUUAUCGUUUGUGCAAAUGGUGGCGCUGUUUGGAAAAUUUGAAAACAACACGAUUGGCAAUUUAUUUGGAUUUCGGAGAUCCUGGUCCUGGUUGAAAUUUAGAGUAUUGCAGCUGUAGCCUGUAUACCAUACAUUCAACAUGAAAAGGACUGUCAGGAUGCUGUAUAAAAUGGUCUUAGCUAGAGCCUAGAAUGUUAAUUUCUUCAAAGUUGGGAAUAUGCUGCAAGGAACUGACGGGGAGCAUUUUUCAUAG
Molecule: long non-coding RNA, 325 nt
Organism: Ruditapes philippinarum (Manila clam)
Lineage: Eukaryota; Metazoa; Mollusca; Bivalvia; Venerida; Veneridae
Exons: 3
Source: RefSeq, a predicted model, not a curated record